Molecule: unclassified non-coding RNA, 454 nt
Filed under: Hevea brasiliensis (rubber tree)
Lineage: Eukaryota; Viridiplantae; Streptophyta; Magnoliopsida; Malpighiales; Euphorbiaceae
Source: RNAcentral
GGGAGAACCUGUACCCGUCCACGGCCCUACUCGCGGAGGGUUGAGCCCGAACAGAACGGAGCUUGUUUCAUUAGCAAGUAAAUUCCCAAAGUUAUUCUCCGACGCAACGCGAUCUGCUAAUUAAUCUGCUGUUGGUAACUAAUCCACUCCCCUCAAAAUCGACCUCAUUUUUCUUCAAUUUAUCAAAAGCAAACCUGGCUUCAGCUAUCUGGAAACGCCUAUUCCCACCGCAAACCCGAAGACCCGCCCCAGUCAUCCCCGAUAUCAGGAUAAAUCGCCGCUUUAAUCCCGGAAUGGAUGUUAACGUAUUCAAAUUAUGCUCUGGUCUCAAGGUUCUCGGCUACUUGAUGAUCCUUCUCGUCGCCGGCAUUAUCACCGUCUCCUACUACGCCGUCGUGGUUAUUACCUGGGGCCCGCAGUUGCUUCGCGGUGGUGUCCACUCUCUUUCGGCUAU